UGUAUAUUAAAGUGAUUCAUCAAACCAAUGCAAGCACAGCUUGAGAGGAGGCCUAGAGGAGCAUCACGAGGUUCUCUGUGUCCUGAGAACUGGUCUGCAGUGCACCUCCACAACGAAAAGGAAUAGGACUGAACACCGUGCUAGCUGACUGGAAGGUCGAGACGCAGGCGUCCCUGGAGGUGGCUGGCCCGUAGUGCACAUUCCUCUUGCACCUUUAAUCUAGAGCGGCACACAUGGAUGAUGUUUGAGAACAGUGUGCUAUCUUUUGCCUCUUUUUCGGGCAUCUAAAGAGAUCUGUUCACCCCUGUAUAUUAAAAAGAGGAGAGCCAUGUGCAGAUGGAUCUCAGAAGUUGUCCUGGGACCAGACGCGGAUGGUGUAAGUUGUGCAUCUUUUCUUUACAGCUGUGAAUUGAACUGCACUCUUAUCUUCUGAGGCCAACUUUCAAGAA
Molecule: long non-coding RNA, 449 nt
Organism: Mus musculus (house mouse)
Lineage: Eukaryota; Metazoa; Chordata; Mammalia; Rodentia; Muridae
Product: predicted gene, 53811
Exons: 2
Source: RefSeq, a predicted model, not a curated record